AUUGAACGCUGGCGGCAUGCCUUACACAUGCAAGUCGAACGGCAGCACGGGUGCUUGCACCUGGUGGCGAGUGGCGAACGGGUGAGUAAUACAUCGGAACGUACCUUAUCGUGGGGGAUAACAAAUUGAAAAAUUUGCUAAUACCGCAUACUACUCUGAGGAGGAAAGCGGGGGAUUCGUAAGUACCUCGCGCGAUUGGAGCGGCCGAUGUCAGAUUAGGUAGUUGGUGGGGUAAAGGCUCACCAAGCCAACGAUCUGUAGCUGGUCUGAGAGGACGACCAGCCACACUGGGACUGAGACACGGCCCAGACUCCUACGGGAGGCAGCAGUGGGGAAUUUUGGACAAGGGGCGCAAGCCUGAUCCAGCAAUGCCGCGUGCAGGAAGAAGGCCUUCGGGUUGUAAACUGCUUUUGUACGGAGCGAAAAGGCUCUCUCUAAUACAGGGGGCUCAUGACGGUACCGUAAGAAUAAGCACCGGCUAACUACGUGCCAGCCGCCGCCGUAA
RNAcentral lists this ribosomal RNA (505 nucleotides) under uncultured bacterium. RNAcentral's name for it is "partial 16S ribosomal RNA". It matches the Rfam family "Bacterial small subunit ribosomal RNA", at positions 30 to 523 of the family's 1533-position model. The record is from RNAcentral.